GAUGAACGCUGGCGGCGUGCUUAACACAUGCAAGUCGAACGGAAAGGCCCAAGCUUGCUUGGGUACUCGAGUGGCGAACGGGUGAGUAACACGUGGGUGAUCUGCCCUGCACUUCGGGAUAAGCCUGGGAAACUGGGUCUAAUACCGGAUAGGACCACUUCUUGGAUGUUGUGGUGGAAAGUUUUUUCGGUGUGGGAUGAGCUCGCGGCCUAUCAGCUUGUUGGUGGGGUAAUGGCCUACCAAGGCGUCGACGGGUAGCCGGCCUGAGAGGGUGUACGGCCACAUUGGGACUGAGAUACGGCCAAGACUCCUACGGGAGGCAGCAGUGGGGAAUAUUGCACAAUGGGCGCAAGCCUGAUGCAGCGACGCCGCGUGGGGGAUGACGGCCUUCGGGUUGUAAACUCCUUUCGCUAGGGACGAAGCGUUUUGUGACGGUACCCGGAGAAGAAGCACCGGCUAACUACGUG
RNAcentral lists this ribosomal RNA (467 nucleotides) under uncultured bacterium. RNAcentral describes it as "partial 16S ribosomal RNA". It matches the Rfam family "Bacterial small subunit ribosomal RNA", at positions 28 to 507 of the family's 1533-position model. The record is from RNAcentral.